AUGUUUGUUAGGACAGUUGAUACAGCCAUGGAUAUCACUCAGAUUCUCCUAGCUGCGCAAUCUCCGGACGGUAACCUUCGGUCGGUAGCAGAAAGCAGCCUUAAGCUGUUUCAGGAGCAGAAUCUUCCCAGGUUCCUGCUGUCCUUAUCAGUGGAGCUCUCGAAUGACGGAAGGCCGCCAGAGUCUAGAAGACUUGCUGGCAUUAUCCUUAAGAAUACGUUGGAUGCUAAGGAUUGUUCAAGGAAGGAGCUACUUGGUCAGCAAUGGGUCAGCCUGGACCUGUCGAUCAAAUCGAGGAUCAAGGAAUCGUUGCUGCUAACGCUAGGUUCUUCGGUGCCUGAUGCAAGGCAGGCCUCAUCACAGGUUAUUGCAAAGGUUGCGUCCAUUGAGAUGCCCCGUCGUGAAUGGCCAGACCUCAUUGCCAAGUUAUUGGGAAACAUGACGCAACAGGGUGCAUCUGCGCCACUGAAGCAAGCAACUCUAGAGGCAUUGGGGUAUGUCUGUGAGGAGAUUUCUCCUGAGCACUUGGAGCAGGAUCAAGUCAAUGCUGUUCUGACUGCUGUGGUCCAGGGAAUGAACCAGGCAGAGCUAAGUGUUGAAGUGCGUCUUGCAGCAGUUAAAGCUCUAUAUAACGCUCUUUAUUUUGCUGAUAGCAACUUUGCAAAUGAUAUGGAGAGGAACUAUAUAAUGAAGGUAAUUUGUGAGACUGCUGUAUCUAAUGAAGUGGAGAUCAGACAGGCAGCUUUUGAAUGCCUUGUUGCAAUUGCAUCCAUAUAUUAUAUGCACUUGGAACCUUAUAUGCAAACUGUAUUUAACCUGACGUCUAACGCUGUCAAAGGAGAUGAAGAAUCAGUUGCACUUCAAGCUAUUGAGUUCUGGAGCACAGUUUGUGAUGAAGAGAUUCAACUCCAAGAAGAAUAUGAGGGAUAUGACAAUGCUGACUCUAGUGCAAAUUUUCGCUUUAUAGAAAAGGCACUCCCUUCACUUGUUCCAAUGCUGCUCGAAACUCUGUUGAAGCAAGAGGAAGAUCAAGAGCAAGAUGAUAAUGUCUGGAACAUUUCCAUGAGUAGCGGGACGUGCCUUGGACUAAUCGCUAAAGCUGUUGGUGAUGCGAUUGUCCCUCUUGUCAUGCCAUUUGUUGAGGCUAACAUCACAAAUCCAGAUUGGCAUUGUCGUGAGGCAGCUACUUUUGCAUUUGGUUCUAUCCUUGACGGUCCUUCUCUUCCGAAACUUGCUCCACUGGUACAUGCUGGACUUGAUUUCUUGCUCAAUGCAAUGAAAGAUCCCAACAGCCAGGUAAAAGACACCACUGCAUGGACUCUUGGGCGUGUGUUUGAAUUUUUGCAUUCUCCAACCAGUGUGAAUCCAAUUGUAACAAGUGGAAACCUUACGCGUAUCAUGACAGUGUUGCUCGAGAGUAGUAAGGAUGCUCCAAAUGUGGCUGAGAAAGUCUGUGGAGCUAUAUACUUUCUUGCCCAAGGUUAUGAAAAUACAGCAGAUUCAAUCUCUUCUGUGCUUACACCUUAUCUUCCUAGUGUCAUUACCACUCUCCUUUCUGCUCCAGACUGUGCUGACGCAACCCAUUUUAGGCUUCGUUCAUCUGCUUAUGAAGCAUUGAAUGAGAUUGUGAGAGUCAGCAACAUAGAUGAAACUUCAAGCAUUAUAGGCCAGUUAUUGCAGGAGGUCAUGAGAAGAUUGAACUUGACAUUUGAUCUCGAAAUAUUUUCACCAGGCGACAAGGAGAACCAGAGUGACCUGCAGGCUUUGCUGUGCGGUGUACUACAGGUUAUCGUCCCGAAACUGAGCAACUCAGAUGCGGAAUCCAUUAUCACCCAGAAUGCUGAUCGGUUGAUGUUUCUGUUUCUCCGUGUCUUUGCUUGCCACGGUUCUACUGUACAUGAAGAAGCAAUGCUUGCUAUUGGUGUUCUUGCGGAUGCUAUCGGUCCAGAUUUUGUAAAAUACAUGCCGGAGUUUUUCAAGUACCUUGAAGCAGGCUUGCAGAAUCAUGAAGAAUACCAAGUAUGCUCCAUUUCUGUUGGAGUGGUGGGUGACAUUUGCCGUACACUAGAAGAUAAAGUGUUGCCAUUCUGUGAUGGAAUUAUGACUGUUCUCCUCAAGGAUCUUUCAAAUCCAAUGCUCAACCGGUCUGUCAAACCUCCCAUUUUCUCAUGCUUUGGAGACAUUGCUCUUGCUAUCGGCGAGAAUUUUGAGAAAUACCUGCCAUAUGCCAUGCCAAUGCUUCAAGGAGCUGCUGAGCUUCUUGUUGUUUUAGAUCAAAGUGACGAUGAUAUGGUUCACUAUGGUAAUCAGCUCAGACGGGGAAUAUUUGAGGCUUACUCUGGCAUAUUACAGGGUAUAAAAGGUCCAAAAGCUCAGCUGAUGGUACCUUAUGCAACCCACCUAUUGCAGUUCACUGAAGCUGUCUACAAGGAUGGGAGCAGGGAUGAGAGUGUGACAAAGGCUGCAGUUGCAGUCCUUGGUGAUCUCGCGGAUACACUUGGCCCAAUAUCAAAAGAUCUGUUCAGGAACCACCUCUUCCAUGUUGAAUUCUUUAGGGAGUGCCUUGAUUCGGACGAAGAAGUCAGGGAGGCUGCAUCGUGGGCGCAGGGAAUGAUAAACCAAGCAGUGGUUGCUUAA
Molecule: ribosomal RNA, 2637 nt
Filed under: Triticum aestivum (bread wheat)
Lineage: Eukaryota; Viridiplantae; Streptophyta; Magnoliopsida; Poales; Poaceae
Description: partial small subunit ribosomal RNA
Source: RNAcentral